Molecule: ribosomal RNA, 484 nt
Filed under: uncultured bacterium
Lineage: Bacteria
Description: partial 16S ribosomal RNA
Rfam family: Bacterial small subunit ribosomal RNA
Source: RNAcentral
AUUGAACGCUGGCGGCAGGCCUAACACAUGCAAGUCGAGCGGUUGAAGGGAGCUUGCUCCUGGAUUCAGCGGCUGACGGGCGGGUAAUGCCUAGGAAUCUGACUUGUAGUGUGGGAUAACGUCCGUAAACGGGCGCUAAUAUCGCAUACGACCAGAGCGAGAAAGGGGUGGAUCCUCGGACCUCACGCUAUCAGAUGAGCUUAGGUCGGGUUCGCUAGUUGGUGGGGUAAAGGCCAACCAAGGCGACGACCCGUAACUGGUCUGAUAGGAUGACCAGUCAACCUGGAACUGGGACACGGCCCGGACUCCUACGGGAGGCAGCAGUGGGGAAUAUUGGACAAUGGGCGAAAGCCUGAUCCAGCCAUGCCGCGUGUGGGAGGAGGGUCUUCGGAUUGUAAAGCACUUUGAGUUGGGAGGAAGGGCAGUAAGUUAAUACCUUGCUGUUUUGACGUUACCAAAAGAAUAAGCACCGGCUAACUUCGUG